CCUACGGGAGGCAGCAGUGGGGAAUAUUGCACAAUGGGGGAAACCCUGAUGCAGCGACGCCGCGUGAGUGAAGAAGUAUUUCGGUAUGUAAAGCUCUAUCAGCAGGGAAGAAAAUGACGGUACCUGACUAAGAAGCCCCGGCUAACUACGUGCCAGCAGCCGCGGCAAUACGUAGGGGGCAAGCGUUAUCCGGAUUUACUGGGUGUAAAGGGGGCGUAGACGGCAGCGCAAGUCUGAAGUGAAAUCCCAUGGCUUAACCAUGGAACUGCUUUUGAAACUGUGCAUCUGGAGUGCAGGAGAGGUAAGCGGAAUUCCUAGUGUAGCGGUGAAAUGCAUAGAUAUUAGGAAGAACACCAGUGGCGAAGGCAGCUUACUGGACUGUAACUGACGUUGAGGCUCGAAAGCGUGGGGAGCAAACAGGAUUAGAUACCCCUGUAGUC
Molecule: ribosomal RNA, 440 nt
Filed under: uncultured bacterium
Lineage: Bacteria
Description: partial 16S ribosomal RNA
Rfam family: Bacterial small subunit ribosomal RNA
Source: RNAcentral